UGCCCCAUAGUCUGGGAUACCACUUGGAAACAGGUGCUAAUACCGGAUAAGAAAGCGGAUCGCAUGAUCAGCUUUUAAAAGGCGGCGUAAGCUGUCGCUAUGGGAUGGCCCCGCGGUGCAUUAGCUAGUUGGUAAGGUAAAGGCUUACCAAGGCGAUGAUGCAUAGCCGAGUUGAGAGACUGAUCGGCCACAUUGGGACUGAGACACGGCCCAAACUCCUACGGGAGGCAGCAGAG
This 236-nucleotide ribosomal RNA is filed under the name uncultured Lactobacillus sp. RNAcentral describes it as "partial 16S ribosomal RNA". It matches the Rfam family "Bacterial small subunit ribosomal RNA", at positions 127 to 354 of the family's 1533-position model. Lineage: Bacteria; Bacillati; Bacillota; Bacilli; Lactobacillales; Lactobacillaceae. The record is from RNAcentral.